ACUUGUAACUCAAUCACUUCUCCACCUUCGCCUGCAAUCCAAAGGCUUCGUUUCUUCAUCACAGUCGACUCAUCUUCCCAUCAAUUUAACAGUUAUCUCUACGCGUAUACCCUCUUGACAUGAAUAUAUAAAUUGCGAUUGUCAGGAACUUCUGGAGAGAGAGAAGCUUGACGCAGUCGCUGGAGAAAUUGGAGGGCGUGCGGUCGGGGAAACCAUAGACAGAAUGGGUCCUGGAGCUGCAUUCACUGCGGCGGCCGCUAGACAAGCUGAAGUAUUGAGGACUGAUGGCAACACCUUUUUCGGAAAGCACAGAUAUGGAGCCGCCAUUGAUGCUUAUACUGAGGCAAUUGCUUUGUGCCCUAAUGUUCCGGUAUAUUGGACGAAUCGCGCUCUCUGUCAUCGGAGACGGAAUGAUUGGACUAAAGUUGAAGAGGAUUCUCGUAAAGCGAUUGAACUUGACUACAAUUCCGUCAAGGCACACUAUAUGUUAGGACUUGCCUUACUACAGAAGAAUGAGUUAGCUGGAGGAGUAAAGGAAUUACAAAGGGCUCUUGAUCUUGGUAGGGGUGCCAACCCAGUGGGUUAUAUGGUAGAAGAGAUCUGGCAAGAGCUUGCAAAAGCAAAAUAUAUGCAAUGGGAGCAAUCAUCCACUAAGCGAUCAUGGGAACUGCAAAGCUUGAAAGAAGCCUGUGAGAAUGCACUGGAGGAAAAACAUUUCCUUGAUAGUUGUCAAACAGAAGGAUUCUUGGAUGAGAUGAAUGUUCCCCAUUUGAAACAAUUUGAGGAUUUAGGACAAGUUUUUAAAAGAGCCGCAGAAGAUGAUACGCCAACCGAGGUGCCGGAUUACCUGUGUUGUAGAAUUACACUUGAUAUAUUCCGAGAUCCUGUCAUUACACCCAGUGGGGUUUCGUAUGAAAGAGCAGUGAUCCUUAACCAUCUUCAGAAGGUGGGAAAGUUUGAUCCAGUGACUCGAGAACCACUUGAUCCGUCACAGCUCAUUCCGAACUUUGCAAUAAAGGAAGCAGUCCAAGCAUAUCUUAACAAACAUGGUUGGGCUUACAAGAUAGAAUGAAUAUGAUUGUUGAUCAGGAGAGCAAUAGUAGUAUGAGAGCAUCGUCAAAUCAUAAUUGAAACAACUUUCUUCGAUGUCGUCUCUUCUCUCCCUUAUCAGUCUCAUCCGCGGUGCUGCUGCUUGUUGGGAUUUUCUUUCUUAUUUUUGUUAGAUUAUUGUUGGGAUAUUGAGACUAGGAUUUCUUCACUUGAUCGGCUUGAAGUUUUGUUUUUCUCUUAAGGCUCUAGGCUCAGUCUCCUUUGGACUUGAAUUUAUUAUGAAAAAAAGGCCUAGUUAGAAGAAAAAACUCGAUAUUUACAUUUUAAUUUAAAUGUUAAACGCUGAAAUUUUGAAUAAUUGACUUAAUAUUAGGGUUCUAA
RNA transcript from Manihot esculenta (cassava), 1431 nucleotides. It is a transcript of the gene named E3 ubiquitin-protein ligase CHIP, with no coding region annotated. The transcript has 9 exons. The record is from RefSeq and is a predicted model, not a curated record. NCBI's taxonomy places the organism in Eukaryota, Viridiplantae, Streptophyta, Magnoliopsida, Malpighiales, Euphorbiaceae.